RNAcentral lists this ribosomal RNA (253 nucleotides) under uncultured bacterium. RNAcentral's name for it is "partial 16S ribosomal RNA". It matches the Rfam family "Bacterial small subunit ribosomal RNA", at positions 524 to 776 of the family's 1533-position model. The record is from RNAcentral.
UACGUAGGGCGCAAGCGUUAUCCGGAAUUAUUGGGCGUAAAGAGCUCGUAGGCGGUUUGUCGCGUCUGCUGUGAAAGACCGGGGCUCAACUCCGGUUCUGCAGUGGGUACGGGCAGACUAGAGUGCAGUAGGGGAGACUGGAAUUCCUGGUGUAGCGGUGAAAUGCGCAGAUAUCAGGAGGAACACCGAUGGCGAAGGCGGGUCUCUGGGCCGUAACUGACGCUGAGGAGCGAAAGCAUGGGGAGCGAACAGG